Molecule: non-coding RNA, 69 nt
Organism: Rattus norvegicus (Norway rat)
Lineage: Eukaryota; Metazoa; Chordata; Mammalia; Rodentia; Muridae
Source: Rfam
GGGGAUUUAGCUCAGUGGUAGAGCGCUUGCCUAGCCAGCGCAAGGCCCUGGGUUCGGUCCCCAGCUCCG